Long non-coding RNA from Antechinus flavipes (yellow-footed antechinus), 3932 nucleotides. RefSeq lists it as uncharacterized. NCBI's taxonomy places the organism in Eukaryota, Metazoa, Chordata, Mammalia, Dasyuromorphia, Dasyuridae. The record is from RefSeq and is a predicted model, not a curated record. The transcript has 2 exons.
ACCACAGAGGACACGUGGGCAGGACCAAGAGGAGGGAGCGGCCAGUGCGGGGAAACGGUGGGGAGAGAGGAGCACAAGGGGAGCAGGCGAGGAAGGCCAGACGGGCAGAGCAGGAGGCAGCCCACAGGGGCAGGCGCCAGCCUUCAUGCAGCACCUACUGUGCCCGCUGGGCAUGGUGCCAUCUUUACUUACACGAGAUACUAAUGUCAUCUCACCCACCCAGGCCGGACUGCAGAAGCCUCUCUAAAGGCUUCUGGAUCCUAAGGGGCAAAGCAGGGAGGGGCUGGAGCAGGCUAGGGAGGACCCAGGAAGGAGGGGGGGGGAGGAGGUUGGGGAGUGGGAUGGGAGGAGACGGGCCGGGGAGGGGGACCCCGAGGAGGGGGAGAAGCCCAAGGCCAGGUGGGGACACAAAGGGAGCAGAUGUGAAGCCAAUGAGUGGGGGAGGGGAGGGAGAAGGGGGAGGGGCAGCACACAGAGGGAGGGAGGGAGGGUCAAGAAUGGGCAUAGGGGUCAUGAAUGGAGAGAGCAAGAAUGGGAGGGAACAAGAGUAGGAGAAGGGGGCCAAGAAUGGGGGGGUGGAGGGGGACGACAGAGGGAGACGGGAACGAGGACGAGAGCGGGGGACCAAGAGUAGGAGAGGGGCGACAAGAGUAAGGGGACCUCGAGUAGGGAGGAGGGAAAAUGAAGGAGGGGACCAGGAGUGGGGGAGGGGGUCAAGGGUCGGAGACUCACUAGUGGGCGAUGGGAAGGGACGUAGGGUCCCCCAGCAUCCCCUAACAAUCCCCAGCACCCACCUCCCGGCCGGGUCCCUGCAGCGUCGGGCUGGGGCGAUGGCGGGGGCGGGGGCGCUCCACGAGAUGCAGACCCCGGCCCGGCCCGAACCCGCUUGACUCUGCCCGGCCUGGACCGGCCCGGCCCGGCUCUGCUCCCCGCUCCGGGUUUUCCCGGGCUCCGGGGCGAGGGGAGAGGCAACCACUCCGGUACCCAGAAGUCACAGGGUCCUUCCCUCCUGAUCAAGGUGAUUGGCUGCUAGCUGACAAAGUCCCGCCUACAGCCGGCCUCCAUUGGUAGCCGCGGAAGGGACGGUUAAGCCCAGGCCACAGCUCGGCCUCCUCAGUACAAAACCGGUGUUUGCCCCGCCCUCAGAGGGGCGGGACCUAGGAGUGAGAAGAAACGCAGGUGCUGGAGGCGGGGCCUAAGGCAUUGGGCGGGCACUUGGAGUGAGGAGAAAGGCUGGCACUGAGGGGCGGGCCUUUGUGCCAAUAGACCAGAGUGGGGAAUGAGGCGAAAGGCAGGUGUCAGGGGCGGGUCUUCAUGGUAAUAAACAAGACCAGGAAGUGAGGAUAAGGCCGAUUGAGGGGUGGGGCCUAAGGGAACGGUGUGGGGGGAACAGGCAGGUGCCAGAGGCGGGCCUUUGUGGUGAUGGGCAGAACGGGGGCGGGACAAAGGUAGGUGCUGAGGGGAGGGCCUAGCCGUGAGAGGUCGGCACGCUGGGCUGAUGGUGACCGAUAAGGAGCCGGACUUGGAGAGUCAGGGGGUAAGGGGGCGUGGCGGAAGCCCCCAGUCAGAGCGCCAGCCAGGGCUUUUGUCCCCGGCGCUUGGGGUAGGCUGGGCGCAGAGCCGGGAGCGCCUGGCUCCGGGAGAACGCACUCGCGCUGCCCUGGAGGAGGGUGGUCCCUGGGGAAGGGACAGAUUUGGGCCUGAGAUCAGACCCUUCCCCCUUUUCGGAGGUGGGGGGGAGACGUCUAAUGGCUGACCGUUUGAUGGAGAUGUUGUGCUGGGAGGGUCUCCUUGCAGAAAGGGGAGCGGUGGCAUCUGAAUAAGGGGGCGCUGGGACGCCUGAGGGCGACCGGAGGACGAGAGGCCCCCCCCCCCAGGGGCUCUUGAUUGACUGAGAUCAGUGAUCUCAAUAAGAGCCUCAUUUUUUUCCCCAACAAAUACUACUCAGAGCCUUAAGUGCUCGUGCGGAUCUCUUAUCUCCCAUUCUUGCUAACUCUUCUAAUUCUGCUUGCCCCACUUAUGAUCCCUCCCUCAUCUUCUCCCCCACCCUUUUUACCCCUUUCUCUGUAACCUUUCCCUUUCCCACUAAUGGAUGCACCUUGCCCCACUGCCCCAAAUCCACACCCCUCCUACGCCCCCCCUUCUGUCCCCUCCCCUGUUGGAGUUCAAAUGUUGGAGUUCUUGUUCUUCUCCAAACGCAGCCGGUUUAGCUUAGAGCCCUCCGAAUGUCUCCAAACCCAAGGGUUUUGUCCUUCAGCCUCUGCCUCUGCUUUCUUCAGCCUCCGGCCAGCACAGAGAUGGAAUGAAUCUCUUGUCUCCUCCACUUGGGGCUCGGCCAGCUUUCUGGUGAGUCUUUCAGACCAGCUUGGUCCCAGCGGGGGAAGUGCAGGAGCCCAGCCACCACAGCGCUGUGAGAUGAAGGUGAAUCUGGUUGUCCGCUGAACUCUCACUCGUAGCUUCUUCCUCUGAAACUCCUCUUCCACCACCAGCAGCCAAGGGGAAAAUAUUCUGGAAUGAAGUGUUCUUCACUGGCCUUAUAUAAGACUCUUCUGAGAGAGAGGGAUUAUGGGUUUUCUCCCAUAGUGCUCUCUGGCCCUAAGAGCUUCAAGGGAGGUGUGAACUCACCAAGUUACCAAGUUUACUUUGUGAAUCUGGCAGACGUGUGAACUCCGCUGAGUAAAGAUUCUGCAGGAUGCUGUACCCUUCGGGCUACUGGGAUGAUCCGGAGCCCUUCCAAGAAAGCUGCAGCCUCCUCGAGCCCCUCAGCAGGAGUGAUGGCGCCUAGAUUCUUUCCCCCAGGCCAGUGGAUCCCAGGUCCCGGAUGUCCUGCCUCUCUUUCCUCAGUGGGGCGCCGGAAGCCUUGCAGAAAGUCCGGGUUUACUCCUUCCUAGCACACUCCCAGACGAGCUCUCCCCAUCUUCUCCUUGCCCCAGGCAGAUAAUCUGACAGCUCUCCAUCGGUUGGAGCUGAGGGGAGCCAGUCCCGAGAUGGCUCGUUAGCCCGUGUUCCUUCAAGUCGCAGUGGAUAGAGCGCUGGGCCUGGAGUCUGGACUCAACCUCCCGAGUUCCAAGCUGGCCUUAAACACUCCUUGGAUGGGUGACCCUGGUCUCAAAGACUUCACCCUUUCUGCCUUAGUUUCCUCAUUUGUUAAAAUGAGGUAGGGCAGGAAAUGGCAAAGCAUCCCAGGAUCUUUGUCAAGAAAAUCCCCAAGAGUCGGGCAUGAUUGAACCGCCACAGUGCCCUUCGAGAGGCUCCAAGACCAAGGCCCGAACCUUGCACCCGCCCCAAAAGCCCACGGUGUGACACCCCUGAACCGGCCUGAGGUCAGUUCCCGCCGAUAGGACACCCAGGGGCUGGCCAGGGCUUGGGGAAGUUGGCUCCGGAGAUCUCUGGCUCCCCUGCCUGCUGCUGUGGAGGGAGGUGGACCCCCAGGCUCUCCACAUGGCAACCCCAGGGGCUGCUCUCCAGGGCUGAAGCUGGAGAUUCCACCCAGGACCAGCAUGGAGCUUGGUGCUACGGGCCACCAUCUCCUACAGACUGUCAGUGGCUGCUUUCUCAGGGAAAACGUUUCCCCAUGGGGAGCCCAGAACCUCCUUAAUGGCUGCUGGGGACCCGCUGGGGCAAGUGUCCCUCCCCAGAAAGGCUCGCAGACAGCCCUCCAGUUUGGGCACUCAGGGGCAGGCAUGUCCCCACUGCUCCCUGUCUCCUCUAGGAUCAGAACCAGGCUUCCUUGGCAUGUAAUGCCCUUCCCAAACUGGGUUCCACCCUGGCUGUUGUGCGUAUUCCCUUUCACACACGCUAUCUGUCCCCUCUACCUUCUGUGCCUUUACCUGAGCUGCUUCUCUACCCACUGAGCUCUACGACCCCCUUUUUCUUAUCUCUGCCUCUCAAUCCCUAAAAAGAAUAAAUCAAGGCCUAGCUUGUAACAUUUA